ACGGGUGAGUAAUAUAUGAGAAUCUGCCUUUUAGUGGAGAAUACCUUCGAGAAAUUGAAGUUAAUACUGCAUAUGUCCUUCGGGAGAAAGAUGGCCUCUUUGCUGUCGCUAAAAGAUGAGCUCAUACACUAUCAGCUAGUUGGUGGGGUAAAGGCCUACCAAGGCUAUGACGGUUAGCCGGCCUGAGAGGGUGUACGGCCACACUGGAACUUAGACACGGUCCAGACUCCUACGGGAGGCAGCAGUGGGGAAUAUUGCGCAAUGGGCGAAAGCCUGACGCAGCGACGCCGCGUGAAGGAUGAAGGUCUUAGGAUUGUAAACUUCUGUUAAGUGGGAAGAAAAGUCUGUAAUUAAUACCUACGGAAAAUGACGGUACCAUUAGAGAAAGCACCGGCUAACUUCGUGCCAGCAGCCGCGGUAAUACGAAGGGUGCGAACGUUAUUCGGAAUUAUUGGGCGUAAAGGGUGUGUAGACGGUAUAUUAAGUCUGGUGUUAAAUCUUUCGGCCUAACCGAAAAUCUGCAGUAGAUACUGAUGUGCUAGAGGGUGGAAGAGAGAAGUGGAAUUCUCGGAGUAGCGGUAAAAUGC
RNAcentral lists this ribosomal RNA (587 nucleotides) under uncultured bacterium. Its description in RNAcentral is "bacterial SSU rRNA". It matches the Rfam family "Bacterial small subunit ribosomal RNA", at positions 102 to 689 of the family's 1533-position model. The record is from RNAcentral.